This 501-nucleotide ribosomal RNA is filed under the name uncultured bacterium. RNAcentral's name for it is "partial 16S ribosomal RNA". It matches the Rfam family "Bacterial small subunit ribosomal RNA", at positions 29 to 523 of the family's 1533-position model. The record is from RNAcentral.
AUUGAACGCUGGCGGCACGCCUAACACAUGCAAGUCGAGCGGUAGCAGGACCUGUAGCAAUACAGGUUGCUGACGAGCGGCGGACGGGUGAGGAAUACGUAGGAACCUGCCUUAUAGUGUGGGAUAACUAAGGGAAACUUUAGCUAAUACCGCAUAAUCUCGAGAGAGGAAAGCUGCCGCAAGGUGGCGCUAAAAGAGGGGCCUGCGUCCGAUUAGCUAGUUGGUGAGGUAAGAGCUCACCAAGGCGAUGAUCGGUAACUGGUCUGAGAGGACGACCAGGCACACUGGGACUGAGACACGGCCCAGACUCCUACGGGAGGAAGCAGUGAGGAAUAUUGGACAAUGGGGGCAACCCUGAUCCAGCGAUGCCGCGUGAGUGAAGAAGGCCUUCGGGUCGUAAAGCUCUUUAGGUUGGGAAGAAGGGUGUUAGAGGAAAUGCUAAUACUUUGACGGUACCGACAGAAUAAGCACCGGCAAACUCUGUGCCAGCCGCCGCGGUAA